This 104-nucleotide small RNA is filed under the name Arabidopsis thaliana (thale cress). Its description in RNAcentral is "ATSL064750". Lineage: Eukaryota; Viridiplantae; Streptophyta; Magnoliopsida; Brassicales; Brassicaceae. The record is from RNAcentral.
AGCUGCAAAGCCGCCUAGAAGUCCGUUGCAUACGUCAAUAACGUUCCAAUGACCUGCUAAAAGCCGUUUACUGAAUAGAGUAGUCAACGCAGCGGUGCAGCCAG